AGUCCUGACUUCCUUUGGUGAUGAACAGCAGCAUGGAAGUGAUCACCAUAAAAAAGAAAAAGAAAAGAAAUGAGAAAAGAAACACCUCUGCAAGUGCCAUGAGAAUAUUUUCAGAAUGGUUGAACUAAAGAGAAAAGAUGUACUCUGGAGAAAAGAGGGUCAAAAGCGGGCCACGGGACCCACAGCUCCAAGAAAGUCAGCGCCGGAUGUCUGACCGACCUCAAGAUGUACCCUGAUACCACCAAGUUCCUGCUUCCCCUUGUAGUCGCCAAA
Long non-coding RNA from Mus musculus (house mouse), 273 nucleotides. RefSeq annotates it as predicted gene, 54003. The record is from RefSeq and is a predicted model, not a curated record. The transcript has 3 exons. NCBI's taxonomy places the organism in Eukaryota, Metazoa, Chordata, Mammalia, Rodentia, Muridae.